RNAcentral lists this ribosomal RNA (492 nucleotides) under uncultured bacterium. RNAcentral's name for it is "partial 16S ribosomal RNA". It matches the Rfam family "Bacterial small subunit ribosomal RNA", at positions 29 to 507 of the family's 1533-position model. The record is from RNAcentral.
AGUGAACGCUGGCGGUAGGCCUAACACAUGCAAGUCGAACGGCAGCACAGUAAGAGCUUGCUCUUACGGGUGGCGAGUGGCGGACGGGUGAGGAAUACAUCGGAAUCUACUUUUUCGUGGGGGAUAACGUAGGGAAACUUACUCUAAUACCGCAUACGACCUACGGGUGAAAGCAGGGGAUCUUCUGACCUUGCGCGAUUGAAUGAGCCGAUGUCGGAUUAGCUAGUUGGCGGGUUAAAGGCCUACCAAGGCGACGAUCCGUAGCUGGUCUGAGAGGAUGGUCAGCCACACUGGAACUGAGACACGGUCCAGACUCCUACGGGAGGCAGCAGUGGGGAAUAUUGGACAAUGGGCGCAAGCCUGAUCCAGCCAUACCGCGUGGGUGAAGAAGGCGUUCGGGUUGUAAAGACCUUUUGUUGGGAAAGAAAAGCAGCAGGUUAAUACCCCGCUGUUCUGACGGUAACCAAAGAAUAAGCACCGGCUAACUUCGUG